AGUGAACGCUGGCGGCAGGCCUAACACAUGCAAGUCGAGCGGCAGCGGGUUCCCGCGAGGGGAUGCCGGCGAGCGGCGGACGGGUGAGGAACACAUCGGAAUCUGCCUGGUUGUGGGGGAUAACGUAGGGAAACUUACGCUAAUACCGCAUGCGACCCUGAGUCGACGGACUGGGGGUGAAAGUGAGGGACCUUCGGGCCUCACGCGACCAGAUGAGCCGAUGUCGGAUUAGCUAGUUGGCGGGGUAACGGCCCGCCAAGGCGACGAUCCGUAGCUGGUCUGAGAGGAUGAUCAGCCACACUGGGACUGAGACACGGCCCAGACUCCUACGGGAGGCAGCAGUGGGAAUCUUGGACAAUGGGCGCAAGCCUGAUCCAGCCAUGCCGCGUGGGUGAAG
Molecule: ribosomal RNA, 397 nt
Filed under: uncultured bacterium
Lineage: Bacteria
Description: bacterial SSU rRNA
Rfam family: Bacterial small subunit ribosomal RNA
Source: RNAcentral